GAACGCACAUGGCGCCUUCCAGUAUCCUGGGAGGCAUGCCUGUCCGAGCGUCGUUUCAACCCUCGAGCCCCCGUGGCCCGGCGUUGGGGAUCUGCCACGGCAGGCCCCUAAAUCCAGUGGCGGACCCGCUGGGCCCUCUCCUUGCGUAGUAGCAUCAGCCUCGCAUCGGGAGCCCGCGUGGCCAUCCGGCCCCUAAACCCCCCCAAAGACCGCCCCCGGCGGCACCAAGGUUGACCUCGGAUCAGGUAGGAAUACCCGCUGAACUUAAG
RNAcentral lists this unclassified non-coding RNA (269 nucleotides) under uncultured Acremonium. RNAcentral's name for it is "sequence contains 5.8S rRNA gene". The record is from RNAcentral. Lineage: Eukaryota; Fungi; Ascomycota.